Molecule: ribosomal RNA, 465 nt
Filed under: Vreelandella stevensii
Lineage: Bacteria; Pseudomonadati; Pseudomonadota; Gammaproteobacteria; Oceanospirillales; Halomonadaceae
Description: partial 16S ribosomal RNA
Rfam family: Bacterial small subunit ribosomal RNA
Source: RNAcentral
CCUACGGGCGGCAGCAGUGGGGAAUAUUGGACAAUGGGCGAAAGCCUGAUCCAGCCAUGCCGCGUGUGUGAAGAAGGCCUUCGGGUUGUAAAGCACUUUCAGUGGGGAAGAAAGCCUUGGGGCUAAUACCCUCGAGGAAGGACAUCACCCACAGAAGAAGCACCGGCUAACUCCGUGCCAGCAGCCGCGGUAAUACGGAGGGUGCGAGCGUUAAUCGGAAUUACUGGGCGUAAAGCGCGCGUAGGCGGUCUGAUAAGCCGGUUGUGAAAGCCCCGGGCUCAACCUGGGAACGGCAUCCGGAACUGUCAGGCUAGAGUGCAGGAGAGGAAGGUAGAAUUCCCGGUGUAGCGGUGAAAUGCGUAGAGAUCGGGAGGAAUACCAGUGGCGAAGGCGGCCUUCUGGACUGACACUGACGCUGAUGUGCGAAAGCGUGGGUAGCAAACAGGAUUAGAUACCCUGGUAGUC